This 3908-nucleotide long non-coding RNA is filed under the name Nicotiana tabacum (common tobacco). RNAcentral describes it as "long non-coding RNA (NTAB_LNC009976)". Lineage: Eukaryota; Viridiplantae; Streptophyta; Magnoliopsida; Solanales; Solanaceae. The record is from RNAcentral.
GCAAGAGAAAUAAAGGGACCCGUAUCUUGGCGGGGCAACCCGGAUGGCUACUGGUGUUUGCAGCCAUGCCGAUGUCUUCAUUCUCUUGUCUUAUCAACAAAUAUGAGCCUCGAUUUUACUCUUAUAGCUUGUUUGGAUGGUUGUUACCUAUUGUAUUGUAUUGUUGUUUAAAAGGGUGUCUUUGGUAUGAUGGAAACUAUUUUUCAUGAUGAAAUCAGUGUUUGGUUACUAAUGUAUUCAUAUGAGAAAAGAUAAAUUGGGAAAUUUUCCAAUAAGUCUUCCCAGAAAGAGAAAUGAGGUUAAUAGAGGGAAGGGAUUCUCUUCUAACAGUGGUUGCCCCUCUCUUUUGUGCCAAUGAUUUUCUUUAGCUGCUAAACCAAAUCCCUUGUUCAUGAAAUACACAGAAACAGCAGCUAUAAUCAUUGAAGCAUAUGCAUGGAUUUUCUUCAAUCUACUGCUUCAAUCAUAGAUCUCAGUCUGUGUUUUCGGGGGAAUUUGCACAAACAGCCUUUCGUGAGGCAGUGAUGAUAAUAUGCACUGUGUGGGCUAACAAAAUCGGGCAUCGAGGACAAUCCGACCCGCAUCUUGGCCUGGCAAAUCCAUGGAUGGCCUGCAAUUGAGGCUCUCUCUUUUGCAUGCAACCGGUGAUUUUGCAGCCAUGGCGUGGCGGCCUUAUCUUUGUCCAAGCAAAAUGCAAUAUCUGAGCCUCAGAUUUCUGGGUAUCGAACUUGGGACCUCUUGAGCUUUGAAAUCUGUAAGGUUUGCUCCAAAUUCUAACUCUAGCUAAAGAUCAAACAAAUGAGUUAUCACAUAAAGAUGGGUACGUUUUCUUCUCAGAGAUUACAGUCCAAAAGCACUUUGCUAUGUCAGUGAAGGUGGUUGAAAGAUAUAGAUAUAUAAAUAGAAAGUUGCUGCUUUUUCUGCAAACCCAAAUCUAAAGGAAAGUGAAAGACAUAAAGAUGUUGGACUUGAAUUUAGUGGCUUAAGCCUGUUUUAAGUUCACAUUGGCUUCUCGUUUAACCUCUCCAUUGCUAGAAGGAAAUAAAGGUUGCUCUAACUGGUUUUCUUGAUUAGAAAUUUGUGUGUUCUUUACAUUGUCAUUAGCAUGAAAGGCCCAGAAAGGUAUGCUUGAGAAAUUAGCUGGACCUCCCAAUGGUAAGAUGUAAAAUGGAGGUCAAAUUGGGGUGUAUAUCAUUGUUGCCGUCUUCUAAUGCUUCUUAGUUGCUAACUCCACUACCACCUGUCAACAUAGCGGGCUGACGAAAAAUAUCUUAAGUCAGGCUUGGGAUCUAAUGAAACUGUAUCUUGGCUGGGCAAUCUAGAUGUUACUGGAUUUGCAGCCACGACAGUGAUUUCCUUCUUUCUCCAAAUGAAUCAAAAAAGAAAACAAUGGACAUAUAUCUUGGCGGGGCAACCCGAAUGGCAAGUGAUUUUUGUGUCAUGCAACCGGUGUUUGCAGCCAUGACAAUGUCCUCAUUCUAUUAUCUUAUCUUCCUCAACAGAUCUGAGCCUCAAAUUUUCUCUUAGGGUGUCUUUGGCAUACAACAACAACAACAACUGAGCCUCAAUCCCAAGCAAAUCGGGGUUGGAUAUUUUAAUCCUCAAUGUCCAUGCCACUUCAUCUAAGCUCAUGUCAGUCUAAUAUAAAAUGUUUGGGGCCCUAAUGGAUCGGGAAUUUGAACCCAACAUGAAUCGAACACGCAACCUUCUGAUCUGGAGUCAGACGCGCUAUAUUACACCAUGACAAGUCAGCCUAGAGAGAGAAUUGAGGCUAACAGAGGGAAGGGAUUUUCUCCUAAGGGUGGGUGCCCCUCUCUGUUUGUGCCAAUGAUUUUCUUUAGCAGCUAAACCAACAGCCUUUGUUCAUGAAAUACUCAGAAAGACUCUGAUCAUGUAAGAACACGCGUUAAUCUCCAUAUGUUGUCAAUCCGCAGCUUCAGCCAUAAACUUGUGUCUCUGUGUGUGUGUGUGUGUUUUGGCACAUUUCUUUUUCCCCAUUUUGAGUAAUAGAGGCAAUGAUGAUGUUCAAUUGCUGGGCUGACAAAAUCGGGCAUUGAGGCAAUCCAACCAGUAUCUUGGCUUGGCAAAUGGAUGGGUUUUGCAACCAUGGCGUGGUUGCCUUCUCUUUGCCUGAUCAAAAUGCAGAUCUGAGCCUCAAAUUUCUGGGAAUCGAACCCGGGUCCUCUUGUUCUUUGAAAUAUAUUAAUGUUUCGUCCAAAUUUUAGCUCAAGGUUCAGACCAAAUGAAUGAGGUGCCAGAGAAGAUGGAUACUUUUCUUCUCUGGUAAGCCCAUGAUUUCAAAAACCAAAAGCACUUCUCUUUCUCAUUGACUGUGGUUGACAAAUAGAUAUGUGGAUUAGAAAAUUUUUCUGGUUCCAUGUAGACCCAAAUCAAUCUAUCAACUAUGCUCAAUCCCUGGACAUAAAUGAUUGGAAAUGCCAUAGGAAGGUAUUGAACCUUAGACCUUGUGGAUAAUAGCCACGCGCUUUAACCAACUGAGCUACACCAUGUGAACCCAAGUUGUGAAAAUGAUAAAUAAAUAAAUAAUCGAUGGGGCUAUGAUGACAUUCUUCUUAGAAAAUGCAAUGAAGCAUUCAGAUAAUUUGCGCCGUAGCUUGGCAGGGCAACCUGGCUAAUUUUAACAUGCUAAAGGUUUGCAGCCAUCACGGUGUUGAAAGACUGAAUGAGACUUGAACAAGAUCUGAGCCUAAAAUGUGUGGAAUAUUUGGUAUUUCUGCUUGCACUUAACCCUUUCUAUUUCAAAUCGUUUCCGUGAAAUGGCGAUAGUGACUUGUUGUCUUGCUUAAAAGAUCUCAUUUUUGGUAUUUUUUGCUAGAUUUUUUCUGCAGUUGACUUGCUGACUAGCUUUGAUAAUUGAGGAUAGAGUGGAAUAGCCAUCUAAUUUGGCAGUAAGGUAAAUUGAUAUAUUGAUUAGAUUUUCGUCCUUUCUAAAUGAAGAAUGUAUCCCAGACAGGUUGACAUGUUUGCCAAAACCAAAAGCAAGAUAUUUUAAUUCCACUGAUGGUACGUGAAAGAGACCCAAUAUAUGAUUUCUACCUUCCUUUUCAUUUUCUAACUUCUCUGUAAGUUGUUCUCCAUCAGCAAACUGGCUCUCUUUCUCACCUUCAAUCAAUAUUUUGCAUUUAUAUUGGUCUUUACAUUUAAACGUCUGAUCAUUUUAUGAUCUGCUCCUCGCCCUUAGCAUAUGGUGUACUUAAUGCAUGCCAUCAUCGAACUUUGGUUUUUGGCUUCUCAAAUGAUGUAGCUUUAUAGUUCCUCAUUUCUUUUGCCUUAUUCAUCGUGUUGCUAGCGGAAAUAUUGGAUGACAAGUUGCAUAAGCAGACCUUUACUAAACUGUGAAUUUGCAUUGAAGAAGCCUGUAUCUUGGCUGGGUGAGCCAUAUGUUACUGGAAUUGCAGCCAUGGCAGCUUCCUGAAUCUCCUUUUGCCUGUUCCUAUAUUUAUUUGAGCCGCGCUCGUCUUGUUAAAUUCUUUGUCUGUUUACCAGCGCUCUUGAAUUGAAAGGUUGUUGUUUUUGUAAUCCAACUCUGGCUUGAAGUGAUAACUAUUCUAUGCUUACGCUAUUCCAUUUCUUCUUUUCCUUCUCCUACUUACACUACUGCUGUAUAAAUCAAAGUUGUUGAUGAAUCUAUUGCUACAGUUGCAGGAUUGCACCCUAGCCGUUUCAUUUUCUCUGUAAUCUGAGAAACACAGAUGACAAUCAUAUGAAGUCUAAUGCUAUGAUGAAAAUAGAUACUGUGCUUGAUCUGAAUGGAGAAAUAUAUUUGAAUUGAAUCUAGAUAAUGAGGUAACAGGAAGCUUGAUUUUAUCAAAGGGCCCUGCUUCUUAUGGUAAAUAUCUCUUUGCCUUCUGAUUGAACAAUAUAUUGCAUUUCACAGUGAAGCUCAC